This 256-nucleotide ribosomal RNA is filed under the name uncultured bacterium. RNAcentral describes it as "partial 16S ribosomal RNA". It matches the Rfam family "Bacterial small subunit ribosomal RNA", at positions 524 to 777 of the family's 1533-position model. The record is from RNAcentral.
UACGGAGGGUGCGAGCGUUGUCCGGAAUCACUGGGCGUAAAGGGCGCGUAGGCGGCCUGAUAAGUAGGGGGGUGAAAUCCUGCGGCUUAACCGCAGGGCUGCCUUCUAAACUGUCAGGCUGGAGCACGGUAGAGGCAGGUGGAAUUCCCGGUGUAGCGGUGGAAUGCGUAGAGAUCGGGAAGAACAUCAGUGGCGAAGGCGGCCUGCUGGGCUGUUGCUGACGGCUGAGGCGCGACAGCGUGGGGAGCAAACAGGG